Molecule: ribosomal RNA, 492 nt
Filed under: uncultured bacterium
Lineage: Bacteria
Description: partial 16S ribosomal RNA
Rfam family: Bacterial small subunit ribosomal RNA (bases 20-336)
Source: RNAcentral
AGUGAACGCUGGCGGUAGGCCUAACACAUGCAAGUCGAACGGCAGCACAGUAAGAGCUUGCUCUUACGGGUGGCGAGUGGCGGACGGGUGAGGAAUACAUCGGAAUCUACUUUUUCGUGGGGGAUAACGUAGGGAAACUUACGCUAAUACCGCAUACGACCUACGGGUGAAAGCAGGGGAUCUUCGGACCUUGCGCGAUUGAAUGAGCCGAUGUCGGAUUAGCUAGUUGGCGGGGUAAAGGCCCACCAAGGCGACGAUCCGUAGCUGGUCUGAGAGGGUGGUCGGCGACGCGGGAGGGGGGGCGGGGGCGGGGGGCCUGGGGGAGGCGGCAGUGGGGGAUGUGGGGCAGGGGGGGCGAGCCUGAGGCAGCGGGGGCGGGUGGGGGGAGGGGGCGGGGGGGGGGGGAGGCCGGGGGGGGGGGAGGGAGGAGCGGGGGGUUGAGAGCCCGCUGUUCUGACGGUACCCAAAGAAUAAGCACCGGCUAACUUCGUG